This 148-nucleotide ribosomal RNA is filed under the name uncultured bacterium. RNAcentral describes it as "partial 16S rRNA". It matches the Rfam family "Bacterial small subunit ribosomal RNA", at positions 338 to 487 of the family's 1533-position model. The record is from RNAcentral.
CCUACGGGAGGCAGCAGUGAGGAAUAUUGGUCAAUGGGCGAGAGCCUGAACCAGCCAAGUCCGCGUGAAGGAAGAAGUUUAGGGGUGUAAACUUCUUUUGCAGGGGAAUAAAGUGCAGGACCGUGUGCCUUUUGGUAUUCCCGCUGGU